This 253-nucleotide ribosomal RNA is filed under the name uncultured bacterium. RNAcentral's name for it is "partial 16S ribosomal RNA". It matches the Rfam family "Bacterial small subunit ribosomal RNA", at positions 524 to 776 of the family's 1533-position model. The record is from RNAcentral.
UACGUAGGUGGCAAGCGUUGUCCGGAAUUAUUGGGCGUAAAGAGCGCGCAGGCGGUCGUUCAAGUCGCGUGUGAAAGCCCCCGGCUCAACUGGGGAGGGUCACGCGAUACUGAUCGACUCGAAGGCAGGAGAGGGUAGUGGAAUUCCCGGUGUAGUGGUGAAAUGCGUAGAUAUCGGGAGGAACACCAGUGGCGAAGGCGACUACCUGGCCUGUUCUUGACGCUGAGGCGCGAAAGCUAGGGGAGCAAACGGG